Molecule: long non-coding RNA, 648 nt
Filed under: Homo sapiens (human)
Lineage: Eukaryota; Metazoa; Chordata; Mammalia; Primates; Hominidae
Description: long non-coding RNA NONHSAT211467
Source: RNAcentral
GCUGGGGAGGAACCCAGGCUGGGGGAGAAGUUAAAGCCAGAGGAGGGGCAGGAAUGUCUGAGGUGGCAACACUUCUCUUCAGCCAGACAGCACUGGCCAGUUUGGAGUCUGUCCAUCCUGCAGGCCACAAGCUCUGGAUGAGGAACUUGAGGCAAGUCACCAGCCCCUGAUCAUUUCGCCUAAAAGAGCAAGGACUAGAGUUCCUGACCUCCAGGCCAGUCCCUGAUCCCUGACCUAAUGUUAUCGCGGAAUGAUGGCCCAGGGCUCCUCAGAGCAGGAACUCCACUAUGCAUCUCUGCAGAGGCUGCCAGUGCCCAGCAGUGAGGGACCUGACCUCAGGGGCAGAGACAAGAGAGGCACCAAGGAGGAUCCAAGAGCUGACUAUGCCUGCAUUGCUGAGAACAAACCCACCUGAGCACCCCAGACACCUUCCUCAACCCAGGCGGGUGGACAGGGUCCCCCUGUGGUCCAGCCAGUAAAAACCAUGGUCCCCCCACUUCUGUGUCUCAGUCCUCUCAGUCCAUCUCGAGCCUCCGUUCAAAUUGAUCAUCAUCAAAACUUAUGUGGCUUUUUGACCUUUGAAUAGGGAAUUUUUUAAAUUUUUUAAAAAUUAAAAUAAAAAAAACACAUGGCUCACCCUUCCACCCA